RNAcentral lists this ribosomal RNA (549 nucleotides) under uncultured bacterium. RNAcentral describes it as "bacterial SSU rRNA". It matches the Rfam family "Bacterial small subunit ribosomal RNA", at positions 240 to 803 of the family's 1533-position model. The record is from RNAcentral.
AUUAGUUAGUUGGUGAGGUAAUGGCUCACCAAGACGAUGAUAGGUAGCCGGCCUGAGAGGGUGAACGGCCACAAGGGGACUGAGAUACGGCCCUUACUCUUACGGGAGGCAGCAGUGGGGAAUAUUGGACAAUGGAGGAAACUCUGAUCCAGCAAUUCUGUGUGCACGAUGAAGGUUUUCGGAUCGUAAAGUGCUUUCAGUAGGGAAGAAGAAAGUGACGGUACCUACAGAAGAAGCGACGGCUAAAUACGUGCCAGCAGCCGCGGUAAUACGUAUGUCGCAAGCGUUAUCCGGAAUUAUUGGGCGUAAAGGGCAUCUAGGCGGUCAAUCAAGUCGAAGGUGAAAACUUGUGGCUCAACCAUAAGCUUGCCUACGAAACUGAUUAACUAGAGUACUGGAGAGGUGGACGGAACUACACGAGUAGAGGUGAAAUUCGUAGAUAUGUGUAGGAAUGCCGAUGAUGAAGAUAGUUCACUGGACAGAAACUGACGCUGAAGUGCGAAAGCUAGGGGAGCAAACAGGAUUAGAUACCCUGGUAGUCCUAGCUGU